RNAcentral lists this transfer RNA (71 nucleotides) under Microcaldota archaeon. RNAcentral describes it as "tRNA-Gly". It matches the Rfam family "tRNA". From Rfam's summary of the family: Transfer RNA (tRNA) molecules are approximately 80 nucleotides in length. Lineage: Archaea; Nanobdellati; Microcaldota. RNAcentral also lists the same sequence under 1 other name. The record is from RNAcentral.
GCGCCAGUAGUCUAGUGGCCGGACAUGAGCUUCCCAAGCUCAAAACCCGGGUCCGAUUCCCGGCUGGCGCA